CUAUAUGUAAUUAAAAAUUCUAUAGGGGGUUAAGUGUAAUUUUCACAAUAUAUUAAUAUUUUUUAAGGGUUAAUAUAUAAAUUUCACAAUAUUUAUAUACUAUAUAAAUUUUACAAUAUAUGUAAUUUUAAGUUUAAUUACAUAUAAAUCCCUAAAAACUUAAAUAUCCCUAAAUUUCUCCCCCAAAUCUUCUAAAUCCCUAAACCUCUCCCCAAAUUUUCUAAAUCCUUAAACCUCUCCCCCAAAUUUCUAAAUCCCUAAACCUCUCCCCCAAACCCAAAACCCACGAUAUUUCCCCAAUAUCCCCCAAAUUUCCCCAAUAUCCCCAAAACCCACGAUUUCACCCAAAAUCUCUCCAAUAUUAUUUCCCCAAUCUCAUUUUCCCCCCAUCCUCCAAUCUCGUUUCCCCCCAUCUCAUUUCCUUCAAUCUUGUUUCCCCCAAUCUCCUUCCCCAAAACUCACGAUUUUCCCCAAUCUCUAUUCCUCCCAUCCACCUCACGAUCAUCUCAGGGUCAACCGGUCAAGCUCUCACGUUCCGACCACCGUCCAUCGAGAUUCAGUUAUUGUGCCACAGCCCACAAGACACCACCACCAUCGGAUUUCACUGCCUUCAGUUCGUCUCCACUCUCCAGAGUCCAG
Molecule: long non-coding RNA, 639 nt
Filed under: Zostera marina
Lineage: Eukaryota; Viridiplantae; Streptophyta; Magnoliopsida; Alismatales; Zosteraceae
Description: long non-coding RNA (ZMAR_LNC000245)
Source: RNAcentral